GAUAUGUCCAGUCAGUCAACUUAUCAGAAAGAGUCAACAUCUAGGUCGCAUCUUAGAACGCUCACUAACCCUAAACACUAAAUAGUGUCAUUGAUUUCGAAAUCAUUGCUCUGGUGACAUAGCACGUGACAUUAAGCAUAUAAAAGGGAAGGUCAUGCCCUCUACACCUUACAAGCGUCCGGCACGUUCCCUCUUAGCAUUAGCAAGAUAAUAAAAAGAAUGCAGACGCAGUUACUUAUUUUUCUGGUCGGCUGCUGCACAACAUUUGCGCAAAACUACACGCACAAUGACAUUGUAGCGGCAGUUGAUGCCACAUUCAAAAACCUCGAUACCAGCCACGACAGCAAAUUAGAAUUGUUUGAACUGCUUGAUGUCUACGACAAACUCGAUACU
Long non-coding RNA from Pecten maximus, 393 nucleotides. RefSeq lists it as uncharacterized. Lineage: Eukaryota; Metazoa; Mollusca; Bivalvia; Pectinida; Pectinidae. The transcript is spliced from 3 exons. The record is from RefSeq and is a predicted model, not a curated record.